GGGUGAGUAACACGUGACCGACCUGUCUUCGGGAGGGGGACAACCUGGGGAAACCCGGGCUAAUACCGCAUGAAGUCUUUGGGCCACCUGGCCUGGGGAUGAAAGGGGGCCUCUGUAGACAAGCUCCUGCCUGGAGAGGGGGUCGCGGCGUAUCAGCUGGUUGGUGGGGUAACGGCCUACCAAGGCGACGACGCGUAGCGGGUCUGAGAGGACGACCCGUCACAUUGGGACUGAGAUACGGCCCAGACUCCUACGGGAGGCAGCAGUGGGGAAUCUUGCGCAAUGGCCGAAAGGCUGACGCAGCGACGCCGCGUGUGGGAGGACGCCCUUCGGGGUGUAAACCACUGUCAGGGGGGACGAAGAGCGGGGAUUCGAAUAGGGUCUUCGAGUGACGGUACCCCCAGAGGAAGCGCCGGCUAACUCCGUGCCAGCAGCCGCGGUAAGACGGAGGGCGCGAGCGUUGUUCGGAAUUACUGGGCGUAAAGCGCGGGCAGGCGGUGGGUUAAGUCGUUUGUGAAACUCCGGGGCUCAACUCCGGACAUGCAGACGAUACUGGCCGA
RNAcentral lists this ribosomal RNA (560 nucleotides) under uncultured bacterium. RNAcentral describes it as "bacterial SSU rRNA". It matches the Rfam family "Bacterial small subunit ribosomal RNA", at positions 104 to 640 of the family's 1533-position model. The record is from RNAcentral.